RNAcentral lists this small RNA (1251 nucleotides) under Histoplasma capsulatum var. duboisii H88. RNAcentral's name for it is "Histoplasma capsulatum H88 hypothetical RNA". The record is from RNAcentral. Lineage: Eukaryota; Fungi; Ascomycota; Eurotiomycetes; Onygenales; Ajellomycetaceae.
UCUCACCGUUUUUUCUAUAUCGCCGCUUUCUUCUCAAAAGCCGCGGUUACCGCCAACCAUGUUUGGGUCAUUUCUUCAGAUCAUCCGAAUUAUGAAUUGGAAAAAGUAUAAUUGAAAAUUUGAUAAAUUACCUUGCGCAAGCCGUUUGCCUUCUUUCCCGGCCGGUUAUCUAAAGAUAUCCACUUGUCAAUAUGAUCAGAAUUUUGGGGCCGAUGGCUGUCUGGACCCUGGCAGCCACGGACUAUUGGCCCUUUUUCACGUUGCCCAUUGUAGCGCGCUAAUUAGUGCAACAUCAAAACCUUAAGUUUCCGCCAUAUCCCAGCGGCUCCUUGCCAAGUACCAAUGCUUUGGACAAACCUCCUCAAGUCCUAGUCGAAUAUGAUCCACGAUCGUCACAACAAACCUGAAUAAACGGAGAAUCAACUGAUUUGCCAAAAGAAAUUUCCAAAGGUAAUACUAUAGAGUUUUUUUCCCCAGGGUCUCGAAUCCGGACCGUGAAGACGCCAUAUUCCACCACAAACUUCUUUUCCUACUGACCCUCACUAGAUCGAGUAGCACUCUGCAGGCACGGAAAAAGAAAUGAUAAGAAACCACAAUGUUACGACUGAUAAAGCAAGUGGUAAAAUGUAGCGCUCCCCGCACAGAAAUUCUGGUGGAAAAAGUUCAUCGAUGCCAACUCCACUUACAAUGACGAGACAGUAAAACCCUGUCUAUCAAUUGCUUUGUUGUCUUCUUGUAUUUUUGUCGCUCCGGGCGGGUAAUGACACAAAUCAUUUUCGUCCUUAGAAGGUUGGAAACAAUGACUAUGUAUAGACGACUGGAAUUUGGAAACCCCGAAUUGCGAUGUAGCCCUCCCCAUCAGAAAUCCUAAACAACUUUGGGAUCGGUAAACGUUUCGUGAAAGCCACAUUUGACGGCCUAAUGCUCUAGUUAAUUAACUUUUCUUUGUCCCCAAUAGCUUCCCCGCAAAUCUAUCAAACCCUCCCCUUCUCCAAUGGAUGUUUACCGCUUGUUGAAUAGUCAUCAUCACCAUCAUCACAGAAAGGAGCAAAACAGCAUAGACCGCCCUUCCUGCUGUGGCAAUCAAAUUUAUGUCUGCAAACACUUCUAACUGGCAUUCUGAAAAUCAUUCAAGGGCUACCGUCCAUACACUGGCUGCUCAUGUCGGAUUCGAAAGGAAAUAAUUUCAAUGGGAUUACAUCAUUUUCUUUGUCGGAUAGUUACUGCAUCCCUAACAUUUACAAUCGAGCC